ACGGGACCCGCACAAGCGGUGGAUGAUGUGGUUUAAUUCGAUGCAACGCGAAAAACCUUACCCACCUUUGACGUGGCAGGAAUCCCGAAGAGAUUUGGGAGUGCUCGAAAGAGAACCUGCACACAGGUGCUGCAUGGGCUGUCGUCAGCUCGUGUCGUGAGAUGUUGGGUUAAGUCCCGCAACGAGCGCAACCCUUGCCAUUAGUUGCCAUCAUUUGGUUGGGCACUCUAAUGAGACUGCCGGUGACAAACCGGAGGAAGUGGGGAUGACGUCAAGUCCUCAUGGCCCUUAUGGGCAGGGCUUCACACGUCAUACAAUGGUCGGUACAGAGGGUUGCCAAGCCGCGAGGUGGAGCCAAUCCCUUAAAGCCGAUCGUAGUCCGGAUCGUAGUCUGCAACUCGACUACGUGAAGUCGGAAUCGCUAGUAAUCGCAGAUCAGCAUGCUGCGGUGAAUACGUUCCCGGGUCUU
This 469-nucleotide ribosomal RNA is filed under the name uncultured Sterolibacterium sp. Its description in RNAcentral is "bacterial SSU rRNA". It matches the Rfam family "Bacterial small subunit ribosomal RNA", at positions 916 to 1381 of the family's 1533-position model. Lineage: Bacteria; Pseudomonadati; Pseudomonadota; Betaproteobacteria; Nitrosomonadales; Sterolibacteriaceae. The record is from RNAcentral.